GACAGAGGGUGCGAGCGUUGUUCGGAAUUACUGGGCGUAAAGCGCGCGCAGGCGGAUCCUGCAAGUCGGAAGUGAAAUGUGGCUGCUCAACGGCCACGCUGCUUCCGAUACUGCGGAUCUGGGGACCGGUAGAGGCUGGUGGAAUUGCAGGUGUAGCGGUGGAAUGCGUAGAUAUCGGGAGGAACAUCGAUGGCGAAGGCAAUCACCUGGGCCUGAACUGACACUGAGACACGAAAGCGUGGGUAGCAAACAGG
Molecule: ribosomal RNA, 254 nt
Filed under: uncultured bacterium
Lineage: Bacteria
Description: partial 16S ribosomal RNA
Rfam family: Bacterial small subunit ribosomal RNA
Source: RNAcentral